RNAcentral lists this long non-coding RNA (6674 nucleotides) under Marmota monax (woodchuck). Lineage: Eukaryota; Metazoa; Chordata; Mammalia; Rodentia; Sciuridae. The record is from RNAcentral.
CGGAAGGGGGCGGGGCCAGGGGCGGAGCUACUAGGGAGACCCGGGGCCGCGGUGCCGGCGGUUCGGACGCCGAGCGGUCACCGCUACGCGUUGCUUCCGGGACUGGCUCCGCGCUCAUUACCAGCCACACGUCGUUGAAGGUGGCUAUUCCUUUAGCCGUUUGGGGGCUACGUAUUGAACUCGUACUGUGCGCCAGGUAUUGUGUCGGGGGGGAUCCCACUCCGUGUUUUCCCGGACCUCAGGCUGGAGAGGGAAAGAAGGUGCGCUGGAGAGGAGGCACGGUUCUUCACGGCGCAAGGACCUGGCCUGCAGGAGGCCUUCCCCUAGGAAGUGACGGUUAAGCUGAGAGUGACAGGGGCCGGAGGGAGGCCAGUGCGGACGGCGGCGGAGCGCUGCCGCGCUGGCCCAGUGUUUGGGCAGGGCCUUACCUGCUCCCUUGUCGGAGCGUGGGAAGCUAGUGGGAAGCAGGAGCCCAUUUGCGUUUGAAAAGGCCUCUAAUGUGAAGGAAUCCCACUGGAGGAAGGGGUCAAAUGGAUGCAGGGAGGCCAGCAGAAGAUGGUUGCUGAAGUCCGGGGAAGAAGUGACGAUAACAACUCGGACUAGGGUGAUGGCAGCGUAAGUGAAGAGAGUGAGAGGACUCAAGAGCUGUCCGGGAGGUUCUAUCAGCCGGCCCUGGCGUCGCGCCUACGUGUAUGGGCGAUGGAGAAGAAGGAACGGGGAAGGAGGGCUAUUUUUCUGACUUGGGCCUUGGAAUGGGAGUACUAGUCACAAAGAAAGCGAACACUGGAAGAGAAAAUCGUGAGUUCAGUCCUGGCCAUGUUGAGGUGUGUGUGUGUGUGUGUGUGUGUGUGUGUGUGUUUUGAAAUAUUCAGUUAAGUCCUGGAGCUCAGAAUGCUGAAUUGGACUUCCUCCAGGAAAUCUUGCCCAGGCACAGGUACUCUUGGCUGCCCAUGCUAUAGUCAUUCUCUCCCUCUUACAUUUUCUAAUCUGUUCGGGUAUCAGGUGGCUGUAGGCCCCAGGGGAAGUGGGGCUCCUUCCAGCUUCAAUCUUGAUUAACCUUAAAUCAUUUAUUGUAAUUUCAUUCCCUUGCCAGUGAUUGCUGAGGAAUAGUCUGUGUCACAGAUCUGGCAGAACAGAGUAGAGGGGAAGUAUUCUGGUAAACUUUGUCUUGCACCUAAACAGGAAUUAAGAAAGAAUCCCUAGGUGGUGCACACCUGUAAUCCCAGCAGUGCAAGAGGCAGAGGCAGGAGGAUGACAAGUUCGAGGCCAGCCCCAGCAGUUUAGCAAGUCUCUAAGUAAUUUACUGAGACCCUAUUGCAAAACAAUAAAAAAAUAAAAUAAAAAGGACUAGGGAUGUAGCUCAGUGGUAAAGUGGCUCUGGUUCAAUCCCAAGUACCAACAAAACAAAACAAAAUCUUUCCCACAGCUUCCCCACUUUUGCACUUUGGUCCUUACUGAAUAGGGAGGACAAGUGCUUGGAGUUAGUUGCUGCUUCUUGUUGUGACAAUAGGAUGGAUAAGCCCUAGGUCCUUGACAUUGUUAAGCCACUGACUUGGCUCAUUUAGGAACCCCUCUACCUCAGACAUCACUAUAUAAGAUGAUCAAUGCAUGAAUUGUUGAAGCUAUUCUGAGUUGUGUUUUUUUUUUCCUUGUAUCCAAAAACAGCCUUUUAGAGCAUCUUGCUUAGGUGCUUCUUGACCACUUUUGACAUACCUUCAACAGCAAAUGAAAUUUUUAAUCCUAAAUAUUGCAAAACUCUAUGUUUUAUUCACUUAUUCAACUGUCAUUCUUGAGGAGGUCAAGGAUGAUUUCUUGUCUCAUUUGUUGCAAUUUGUAUUCUCAGGGCUUGGCACUCUGGCACCUAUACAGUGGGUUCUCAGUAAUAUAUGAUGAAUGACUGAAGAUUUCAAGAUAUUUAGUCAUUUCUUUCUUUGAAUCAACAGAUUUCUACCCAAAAGAAUUGAAAGCAGUUAUUCAAACAAAAACUUGUACUAGUAUACAAAGACAGUGUUCACAAUAGGCAGUGAAUGGAAACAACUCAAAAGUACAUCAGCCGAUGAAUGGAUAUAUAAAAUAUGGUACAGCAGAUGAUUAUUUGGCCAUCAAAAGGAAUGAAGCAUUGAUGCUACAACAUAACAUGCUACAAGAGAAGCAGACCUUGAAAACAGUAAGUGAAAGAAGCCAGAAGCAAACGGCUGCAUAUGGUUUCAUUUGUAAGAACUGUCCGGAAUGGGCAUAUACCAGGGGCGAGAUACCAUCUAGGAGAUGUUGGAGAAUAACACAGGGUUAAAUACAGGGUUUCUUUUAGGGCAAUGAAAGUGUUCUGAAAAUAGUGGUAAUAGUUAACAAAAUUGUGACUGUACUGUAUGCCACUGAAUUAUAUACUUUAAAAUUGUAAAAAUAAUGGAUUUUAUCUGUUUACCCCAAUUUAAGAAAAAUGAAAACAAAAAGUGUGUACUUUGGAAUUAGAUCAGUCCCAAUUGUACCAUUAAUUAACUCUGUGACCUUGGACAUGCUCAUUUCUGUGCCUCAGUUUUCUCAUCUGUAAAAUGGAGACAUCAUGGUCUCUACCUCUGCAGGUUGUUGUAAAGACUGAGUGGGAUAAUGCAUGUCAUUCAGCACAGUGCCUAGAACAGACCAAGUCCUCAGUCAGUCAUUGUUAUCAUCAUCAUUAUUAGUAUCAUCAUCAUCGUCAUCAUCUUGUAUCAGGUUCAAUAGCAAGUAGAGCCAUCUCUAGAAAUUUCCAAAUAUUCUUAGUGCACCAGCAUCACUGCAUGUAUGCAAGAUCACAGUUUGAAAAACAUUGCUUCAAGCCAGUGUUGUCUCUGACAUCUGUAAGCAGUCUGUCACCAAAUGACAAGCACCAUGAAACCAUUCCACUUGAGAGGAGGGCAUGUGUCUUCCCGCUGGGCCUCUGGACCAGCCCACUCCUGACUUUCAGCUUUCUUUCCAGCAGAGCCAACCACUGUAGUUUUCAAGAUGUGUCCUAUGACCCUCCAUCCUGAUUUCCAAAUCAUGGAUGUCCCAAACACUUUAAAGUGCUUAGAGCCACUAACAUACAGAUGAGUGGUUGCUAGCUGGUAUUAGCUGGCCAAAGGUAUUUUUUUCUUUAUUUUUAAAGAUUUUUUAUGUUAGUUGUAUAUGGAUAUAGUAUGCUUUUUUUGUUUUGUUUUUUGAUACCAGGGAUUGAACUCAGGGUCACUCAACCACUGGGCCACAUCUCCAGCCCUAUUUUGUACUUUUUUUUAGAGUCAGAGUUUCACUGAGUUGCUAAGCGCCUUGCCUUUGUUAAGGCUGCCUUUGAAUUCUUGAUCCUCCUGACUCAGCCUCCAGAGCUGCUGGGAUUAUAGGCAUGCACCACCAUGCCUGGCUUCUUUAUUUAUUUUUAUGUCAUGCUGAGGAUCAAACCCAGUACUUCACAUGUGUUAGACAAGCACCGUAAAACCGAGCUACAACCCCAGGCCUGUCCAUAGAUUUCUGAAGGAGCUUUUUACAGCACAUCUAGGGUAAUGUAUUAAGCACCCUCACAUUUUUCAUCAACCAUUUUCCUACUGAAAGAUUGCAUCCUUCAGUGCAUUUCUGAAAUACAACUCUACCAUACUAGCACGAGUUGUUCACAACACCACUUUCUAAAAAUCCAAGGUAAGAAAAUAGUCUUUAGUGAAGAAAAAUGAAGCACACCAAGAAAAGCAAUGAAAGGUGGAUGCUGCACAAAUAUACUAGCAGCCCUUGUGUGCUUAUGGGAUGUCUUUGUGUGUACAACAGUGGUUAUUUAUUACCACCAGAGGAAAUGCAGUGAAGCUUAACCACAUACCAACUGUAAAUUAAUCUGAGUUACUCAAUAGAGUAAUUACAUUAGAAAUAAUUUAAAAUGCACUAAAGUCUUCCACACUCUCUUAAAAUUCACAGAACAAAUCAAUUUAGAGUUUCAAAGUUUGCUUGUUUUCAAUAGCAUGCAGGGAGCAACACCUAGGUAAAGGCCAAGCAGGAGGGGCUGGGCCAGACUGCACUGAAUGCAAGUUUUUUGUUAAUUGCCAAAGAACUGCACACCACCUAUUCUGUUUUGCCACAAAAUUACUGCUGUUGAUCCUUUUUCCUCUAUAAAAUUAGACUGAUUAGUCUGGGCGUGGUGGUGCAUGCCUGUUAUCACAGUGACUCGGGAGGCUGGGGCAGGAGGAUCAUGGGUUCAAAGCCAGCCUUAGCCAUGGUGAGGUGCUAAGCAACUCAGUGAGACCCUGUCUCUAAAUAAAAUACAAAAUAAGGAUGGGGAUGUGGCUCAGGAGUCGAGUGUCCCUGGGUUCAAUUCCUGGUACCCCUCCCCAACCCUCCAAAUCAGGAUGAUUAUAGUUCAUCUUAUGUGAUUGAAGAGAAGACGAAAACAAAGAAGUGAAUUGAAAAAGUUCAAAAAAUGUUUUAUUGAAUAAUUGUUUCUAAUUAUAUGAUAUAUGCAAGAACAAAAAUAUUUUUCCUAACUCUUAAGGCGUCUGGCUCUGUUGCCCAGACUGACCUCACACUUUCGAAUUUAAAUGAUAUUCUUGCCUCAGUGUCCCAAGUAGAUAAGACUUCAGGUGCCCAGCAGCAUACCUUGCCUGGUCUGUCUUUUAUGCCAAUUGAGUUGAUGAGGACAAGAUCGAUGAAGUUAUAGGUCCCAGUUUAGCUAUUCCAAGGUUGAUCAAUGAAUUCAAGUUCAGUUUGUCACAACAGGUGAAUAAAGCAAGUACAUAGUCCCAAGGGCAGGCACUGGGGACCAUGAACCAUUAGUUCACAAUUGGGAUGCUGCAGGCGAACUCCCAGCAAGCUGGAAUCCAUUUAUCAUGACCAGACACAGAAGGUCAGAAUCAGGAAAGGGCCUCUACCCCCACCUGGCACUGCCUCCCUCCUGUGUGGUUGAGGUUCUCUCAAACUUUCUUAUGACAAAGUGUCACUGUCUAGCAUAGUGCUUUGUACUAGCAAAGUGCUCAAAGCAAUGACAACAUUAGAAGUUUUUAUUCUUUCAAAUUCCUUCUAUUAAAAGGUUGAUCUUCAGUUGUAACUUCAAUUGAGACUAAAUAAAAUAAUUUGGGAUUUAGAACCUGUUAGUCAACUAUUCAUUAUUUUGACAAGUAACAAAAAAAAAAACAACUUAGGGAGGAAAGAUUUAUUUUGGCUCUGGGUUUCCCCAGUUGACCAGCUCCAUUGCUCUGGGCCCAGGUGAGGCAGCACAUCAUGGCAGAGGGCCUGGCUGAGGAAAAGUAUUUAACUCAUGGCAGCAAGAAACAAAGUGAAAGAGAGGAGAAGGGGUCAGGUUAAGAAAUGCCCUUCCCUGCCAGGCAUGGUGGUACAUGCCUGUGAUCUCAGCCACUCAAGAGGCUGAGGCAGGAGGAUCUCAAGUUCAAGGUUAGCCUCAGUAACUUAGCAAGGUCCUAAGCAACUUAGUGAGGCCCUGUAUUAAAAUUAUAGAUAAAAUGGACUGGGGAUGUCACUCAGUGGUACCUACCCCAACCCCAGUUCAACCCCAAGUGCCAAAAAAAAGAAAGAAAGGAAAAUACCCUCUCCAGGCACACCCCCAGUGACCUACUUGCACCAACCAUUUCUCACUGUGGACAGUUUCCACCAAUUCCCAAGAGUCCUUUCAGCUGUCAGUGAAUUAAUCCAUGGACGAGGCCAGAGCCCUCCCGACUCCACCACUUCCCCAAAGCCCCACUUCUGGACAUGGCUGCAUUGGGGACCAGAUCUUCAACCCAUGAGCCUUUGGGAACAUUCCAGGUCAAAACCAUGACAAGCACUUCUUAUUUUCUCAUUUAUCCUGGAUAUCUUUCUGAAUGAAGAACAGAAGACCCAUCUGGAAGAGGGAAAGCAAAGACCGUUGGCUCAAGAAGAAAGUCCAAAGGUGAAAUUGGUGAGAGUAGAUCAGGGAUGAAUCACAGGGAGACCUGACCCAUCUCUCUGCCUCCUCGUUACUCUGCUUUAUUUUCAUAGGUGUUUGCUUCACUUUUACCAGUUUCUCUCCUCUGAUAAGCCCUGUUGUGCCAUGAGGAAGCCUUAGUUUGAACCCCAGCAGGAAAAGAGAGAGGGCUUUCCUUUCAAAGCUUGCUGACUCUGACCUAUCUUGGGUGACAGGUUCACCAUGGAGCCAUCGCGGUAGCAAAGGGCAUCUGAUUCCUUGGUCAGGCAGGCCCAGGUCCCAUCCAGGCAGGAAUCUGAUUGGAAUCAGCCUCCCAUGAUCCACUGGGACUGGUAGCUGAUGUGGGGGCCGGUGGAGUUUCCCUGGGGAAAAUAAGCUUUCUAAUAACAACAGGUAGGAAGAGAUGCUGGGCAGGUGACCAGAACUCCCCACAGGCCGUGAUCUGCACAGACAUGUCGCUGGUGUGCCCCUUGCGGCCUUGGACGGCAUGACCCUGUUAUAAUUCUUCCUCCUCCUUUCUCUUCCUUAAGGUCAGAAAUCACUAGCUCAUUUCUGAAUCCCUUGCUUCCCAUCUUCCUAGCUUCAUCUGCAGUUCUAGGACAGACACCUUUCAUUCAGUAACUAUCUGUUGCUUGGAUGAACGAGUUUCUUGUUUGUAUACGUGUACUCACAGUAAAUAAUUUUGCAUGUGUUAAAAAUGAAGUCAAGGGCUGGGGCUGAGGCUCAGCUGUAGCAUGCUUGCCUGGCAUGUGUGAGGCACUGGGUUUGAUUCUCAGCACCACAUAUAAAU